CCGAUCAUUUUACUUACUUUAUUCAUUAUCAACGCCCCCUUUGCUUCCCGUUUUAUACCGCGUAAUGCGAAAGUAUCCAUCCCUGUUUCCCGUCCUGAGUACGAAGAACCCCCAUUGAUUCAUCCGCUACUGCGUAGUUACCUGACAGAGGAUGUAUCAGCAUCGUUUGCCCCGCACAGAGACUUUCUAGACAGGGGUAACAGGGAUAAGCGAUAUUGUUGAAGAAUGGUGGUCCAGGGGAAAUCUUAAUCUUGUUCCUGAGCGAAAGAGCUCUGUGGUUGGCCGAGAGGGAAAAAAUAUACGAACCUUGGAAAUCAUUAUCGGCUCACCUGACCAUUUAUUUUGGUAGUGACAGCCAAGAGCAGACUUAUCCAUGGAUGUAUUUUAUAAUUGGCCAUCCAGUUGCCAUUGUUUCUGGGAUCUUUUGAGAUGGUAGGAGUAGAGAGCGCUUAUGCUCGGUUCCCCUGCUCUCGCAGCAUGGACUCUGUACGGAGUACUCCGUACACAGCAUUGGAUAUGAAGGAUCAAAAAUAAACACUCGUUGAAUAAACGGUAGUUUGAUUGUAACUAGUUUGAUGAAGUGUAAGAACCA
RNAcentral lists this small RNA (592 nucleotides) under Histoplasma ohiense. RNAcentral's name for it is "hypothetical lncRNA". Lineage: Eukaryota; Fungi; Ascomycota; Eurotiomycetes; Onygenales; Ajellomycetaceae. The record is from RNAcentral.